AGUGAACGCUGGCGGCGUGGAUAAGGCAUGCAAGUCGAGCGAUACUCGCAAGGGUAUAGCGGCAAACGGGUGAGUAACACGUAGAUAACCUACCCCUAAGCGCGGGAUAGUCCGGCGAAGGUCGGAGUAAUACCGCAUGUGAUUCCGAAGUGGCAUCACUUUGGAAAGAAAGAUGGCCUAGACCGCAAGGUUGCUAUCACUUUAGGAGGGAUCUGCGUCCCANCAGCUAGUUGGUAGGGUAACGGCCUACCAAGGCUAUUACGGGUAGCUAGCCUUAGAGGGCGGUUAGCCACACUGGGACUGAGACACUGCCCAGACUCCUACGGGAGGCUGCAGUCGAGAAUCUUUGGCAAUGGACGCAAGUCUGACCAUGCGACGCC
RNAcentral lists this ribosomal RNA (380 nucleotides) under uncultured bacterium. RNAcentral's name for it is "bacterial SSU rRNA". It matches the Rfam family "Bacterial small subunit ribosomal RNA", at positions 29 to 398 of the family's 1533-position model. The record is from RNAcentral.